AACGCGAAGAACCUUACCAAGGUUUGACAUGCAGGGAAAAGCCGUAGAGAUACGGUGUCCGUAAGGGUCCUGCACAGGUGGUGCAUGGCUGUCGUCAGCUCGUGUCGUGAGAUGUUGGGUUAAGUCCCGCAACGAGCGCAACCCUCGUUCUAUGUUGCCAGCGGGUAAUGCCGGGAACUCAUAGGAGACUGCCGGGGUCAACUCGGAGGAAGGUGGGGAUGACGUCAAGUCCUCAUGCCCCUUAUAUCUUGGGCUGCAAACAUGCUACAAUGGCCGGUACAGAGGGCUGCGAGACCGCAAGGUGGAGCGAAUCUCAAAAAGCCGGUCUCAGUUCGGAUUGGGGUCUGCAACUCGACCCCAUGAAGUCGGAGUCGCUAGUAAUCGCGAAUCAGCAACGUCGCGGUGAAUACGUUCCCGGGCCUUGUACACACCGACUGUAC
This 440-nucleotide ribosomal RNA is filed under the name uncultured bacterium. RNAcentral's name for it is "bacterial SSU rRNA". It matches the Rfam family "Bacterial small subunit ribosomal RNA", at positions 958 to 1399 of the family's 1533-position model. The record is from RNAcentral.